This is a small nucleolar RNA of Echinops telfairi (small Madagascar hedgehog), 121 nucleotides long. The record is from Ensembl. NCBI's taxonomy places the organism in Eukaryota, Metazoa, Chordata, Mammalia, Afrosoricida, Tenrecidae.
UCCCUCCACAUUCCUUAUCCUUUGGAUCUAAAUAUUGGUCUGAAUGACUAAAAAAGGAAGAAAAGUAAAACUGAUGUGGACUUGGAGUCUUUAGCAAGAUAGAAGUUCAUUUCAAACGUAA